RNAcentral lists this transfer RNA (85 nucleotides) under Felis catus (domestic cat). It matches the Rfam family "tRNA". Rfam says of the family: Transfer RNA (tRNA) molecules are approximately 80 nucleotides in length. Their secondary structure includes four short double-helical elements and three loops (D, anti-codon, and T loops). Further hydrogen bonds mediate the characteristic L-shaped molecular structure. tRNAs have two regions of fundamental functional importance: the anti-codon, which is responsible for specific mRNA codon recognition, and the 3' end, to which the tRNAs corresponding amino acid is attached (by aminoacyl-tRNA synthetases). tRNAs cope with the degeneracy of the genetic code in two manners: having more than one tRNA (with a specific anti-codon) for a particular amino acid; and 'wobble' base-pairing, i.e. permitting non-standard base-pairing at the 3rd anti-codon position. The record is from Rfam by way of RNAcentral. Lineage: Eukaryota; Metazoa; Chordata; Mammalia; Carnivora; Felidae. RNAcentral also lists the same sequence under 2 other names.
GCCUGGGUGGCUCAGUCGGUUAAGCGUCCGACUUUGGCUCAGGUCAUGAUCUCACGGCUCGUGGGUUCGAGCCCCACGUCGGGCU